This is a non-coding RNA of Caenorhabditis elegans, 216 nucleotides long. NCBI's taxonomy places the organism in Eukaryota, Metazoa, Nematoda, Chromadorea, Rhabditida, Rhabditidae. The record is from Ensembl.
CUGAAAAUAAGAGAGUACAAUUUUUUCAAAAGAAUUUCACAAAACACAUUUAUAUACUUCUUCCUGGGCCCUCUUGAAUUUGAGGAAGUAUGUUUCAGGAGAGCGAUAGAUGCAAAAAGAUAGAGCAUGUUUGAAACAGGCGCAAAAAUAAAUAAAGUGCAAAUGCGGCAGCCGUCUGGACCUCUGGACCUCUUUUACCAAAAGCCGACGCUCUCU